CGUGUAGGCGGUCCAGUAAGUCGGAUGUGAAAUCCAAGGGCUCAACCCUUGAACUGCAUCCGAUACUGCUGGACUUGAGGUAGGUAGAGGAGAGUGGAAUUUCUGGUGUAGCGGUGGAAUGCGCAGAUAUCAGAAGGAACACCGAUGGCGAAGACAGCUCUCUGGGCCUUACCUGACGCUGAGACGCGAAAGCAUGGGUAGCAAACA
RNAcentral lists this ribosomal RNA (207 nucleotides) under uncultured bacterium. Its description in RNAcentral is "partial 16S ribosomal RNA". It matches the Rfam family "Bacterial small subunit ribosomal RNA", at positions 568 to 774 of the family's 1533-position model. The record is from RNAcentral.